RNAcentral lists this transfer RNA (73 nucleotides) under Ophiopholis mirabilis. RNAcentral's name for it is "tRNA-Leu". It matches the Rfam family "tRNA". Rfam says of the family: Transfer RNA (tRNA) molecules are approximately 80 nucleotides in length. Their secondary structure includes four short double-helical elements and three loops (D, anti-codon, and T loops). Lineage: Eukaryota; Metazoa; Echinodermata; Ophiuroidea; Amphilepidida; Ophiactidae. The record is from RNAcentral.
GUUAAAAAAGCUAAAGGGGUCUAGCAAAGAGCCUAAAAUUCUUGGGAUCGGGGUUCAAUUCCCCGUUUUAACU